RNAcentral lists this ribosomal RNA (645 nucleotides) under uncultured bacterium. RNAcentral describes it as "bacterial SSU rRNA". It matches the Rfam family "Bacterial small subunit ribosomal RNA", at positions 598 to 1242 of the family's 1533-position model. The record is from RNAcentral.
AAUCUCACGGCUUAACUGUGAGCGUGCGGGCGAUACGGGCAGACUUGAGUACUGCAGGGGAGACUGGAAUUCCUGGUGUAGCGGUGGAAUGCGCAGAUAUCAGGAGGAACACCGGUGGCGAAGGCGGGUCUCUGGGCAGUAACUGACGCUGAGGAGCGAAAGCGUGGGGAGCGAACAGGAUUAGAUACCCUGGUAGUCCACGCCGUAAACGGUGGGUACUAGGUGUGGGUUUCCUUCCUUGGGAUCCGUGCCGUAGCUAACGCAUUAAGUACCCCGCCUGGGGAGUACGGCCGCAAGGCUAAAACUCAAAGAAAUUGACGGGGGCCCGCACAAGCGGCGGAGCAUGUGGAUUAAUUCGAUGCAACGCGAAGAACCUUACCUGGGUUUGACAUGCACAGGACGCCGGCAGAGAUGUCGGUUCCCUUGUGGCCUGUGUGCAGGUGGUGCAUGGCUGUCGUCAGCUCGUGUCGUGAGAUGUUGGGUUAAGUCCCGCAACGAGCGCAACCCUUGUCUCAUGUUGCCAGCGGGUAAUGCCGGGGACUCGUGAGAGACUGCCGGGGUCAACUCGGAGGAAGGUGGGGAUGACGUCAAGUCAUCAUGCCCCUUAUGUCCAGGGCUUCACACAUGCUACAAUGGCCGGUACAA